CGCUGGCGGCGUGGAUAGACAUGCAAGUCGAACGGGAUUUGUUUUGUAGUAAUACAAGAUGAGUUUAGUGGCGAACGGGUGCGUAACACGUGGGCAAUCUGCCGAAAAGUGGGGGAUAGCCCGCCGAAAGGCGAAUUAAUACCGCAUGUGGUUAAGAGGGGCAUCUCUCUGAUACCAAAGCCGGGGUAACCUGGCGCUUUUUGAUGAGCCCGCGGCCUAUCAGCUUGUUGGUGAGGUAACGGCUCACCAAGGCUAUGACGGGUAGCUGGUCUGAGAGGACGACCAGCCACACUGGAACUGAGACAGGGUCCACACACCUACGGGUGGCAGCAGUCGAGAAUUUUUCUCAAUGGGGGAAACCCUGAAGGAGCGACGCCGCGUGGAGGAUGAAGGUUUUCGGAUUGUAAACUCCUGUCAUUGGGGAACAAUUGCACGGGUUUAACUGACCUGUGUUUGAUAGUACCCGAAGAGGAAGAGACGGCUAACUCUGUGCCAGCAGCCGCGGUAAUACAGAGGUCUCGAGCGUUGUUCGGAUUCAUUGGGCGUAAAGGGUGCGUAGCGGCGAGGUAAGUUGGAUGUGAAAUCCCGGGGCUCAACCCUGGAACUGCAUUCAAUACUGCCUUGCUAGAG
Molecule: ribosomal RNA, 630 nt
Filed under: uncultured Verrucomicrobiota bacterium
Lineage: Bacteria; Pseudomonadati; Verrucomicrobiota
Description: bacterial SSU rRNA
Rfam family: Bacterial small subunit ribosomal RNA
Source: RNAcentral